UACAGAGGUCCCAAGCGUUGUUCGGAUUCACUGGGCGUAAAGGGUGCGUAGGUGGUUGGGUAAGUUUGAUGUGAAAUCUCCGGGCUUAACCCGGAAACUGCAUUGAAUACUAUCUGGCUAGAGGGUUGGAGGGGGGACUGGAAUACUUGGUGUAGCAGUGAAAUGCGUAGAUAUCAAGUGGAACACCGGUGGCGAAGGCGAGUCCCUGGACAACUCCUGACACUGAGGCGCGAAAGCUAGGGGAGCAAACAGG
RNAcentral lists this ribosomal RNA (253 nucleotides) under uncultured bacterium. RNAcentral describes it as "partial 16S ribosomal RNA". It matches the Rfam family "Bacterial small subunit ribosomal RNA", at positions 524 to 776 of the family's 1533-position model. The record is from RNAcentral.